Phascolarctos cinereus (koala) is the source of this 315-nucleotide long non-coding RNA. Lineage: Eukaryota; Metazoa; Chordata; Mammalia; Diprotodontia; Phascolarctidae. The record is from Ensembl.
CCUAAAACUAAAUUCACACACAUAGAAGUGGGAGCUGAGCCAGAAGAAGAAUGAAAGACAAACAACAAUUGUUGCUAUCCAAGUCACCUGCCCUGCCUCUGUGGUUGGACUAACACCCCUGAAUGGGAGUUUUUGUCUCAUGGUCAAUUACCAAUAACCUUGAACCUGAGGAAAAGCUGGUUUAGAUACGAACUUGAAGACAUGGAGAAAUCUUAAACAAUGCUGCCCACUACAGUUUAAGUAGAAAAACUGAAGGUAACUAGUAUUUUAGUUGCUAGUUCAAAGUCCAAAAACCUUGAGCUCUUAGCACCAUCU